UAUAAGGGAUUUUGAGUUUUUUCUUGCAACGUUUGACCACUCGUCUUAUUCAAAAUAUUUUAAAAUUAUUAUUUAUUUUAUUUGUGACUUACUUUAUUAUCUACAGUAUUUUAAGCACAACUUUUUAUUUUUUAUAUUUGCAAAAAAAAAUUGAAUAAGACGAGUGGUCAAACAUUGCAAGCAAAAACUUAAA
This 193-nucleotide microRNA precursor is filed under the name Oryza nivara. Its description in RNAcentral is "MIR812 microRNA precursor family". It matches the Rfam family "MIR812 microRNA precursor family". Lineage: Eukaryota; Viridiplantae; Streptophyta; Magnoliopsida; Poales; Poaceae. The record is from Rfam by way of RNAcentral.